Molecule: ribosomal RNA, 480 nt
Filed under: uncultured bacterium
Lineage: Bacteria
Description: bacterial SSU rRNA
Rfam family: Bacterial small subunit ribosomal RNA
Source: RNAcentral
GGCUCAGGACGAACGCUGGCGGCGUGCCUAACACAUGCAAGUCGAGCGAGGAGAUCCUUCGGGAUGAUCCUAGCGGCGGACGGGUGAGUAACACGUGGGCAACCUGCCUCAUAGAGAGGAAUAGCCUUCCGAAAGGGAGAUUAAUACCUCAUAACAUUGCAGUUUCGCAUGGAACAGCAAUUAAAGGAGUAAUCCGCUAUGAGAUGGGCCCGCGGCGCAUUAGCUAGUUGGUGAGGUAACGGCCCACCAAGGCGACGAUGCGUAGCCGACCUGAGAGGGUGAUCGGCCACAUUGGGACUGAGACACGGCCCAGACUCCUACGGGAGGUAGCAGUGGGGAAUAUUGCACAAUGGGGGAAACCCUGAUGCAGCCAACGCCGCGUGAGUGAUGACGGCCUUCGGGUUGUAAAGCUCUGUCUUCAGGGACGAUAAUGACGGUACCUGAGGAGGAAGCCACGGCUAACUACGUGCCAGCAGCAGC